AAUCAACGCUGGCGGCGUGCCUAACACAUGCAAGUCGAACGCGAAAGCCCCGCAAGGGGCAAGUAGAGUGGCAAACGGGUGAGUAACACGUGGGUGACCUGCCUUCGAGUGGGGGAUAACGUCCCGAAAGGGACGCUAAUACCGCAUGACAUCCUGCCUUUGGAGAGGUGGAGAUCAAAGCCGGGGAUCGCAAGACCUGGCGCUUGAAGAGGGGCCCGCGCCUGAUUAGCAGUUGGUGGGGUAACGGCUCACCAAGGCGACGAUCAGUAUCCGGCCUGAGAGGGCGGACGGACACACUGGGACUGAGGACACGGCCCAGACUCCUACGGGAGGCAGCAGUGGGGAAUUGUUCGCAAUGGGCGCAAGCCUGACGACGCAACGCCGCGUGGAGGACGAAGAUCUUCGGGUCGUAAACUCCUGUCGAGCGGGACGAACGCUU
This 439-nucleotide ribosomal RNA is filed under the name uncultured bacterium. Its description in RNAcentral is "bacterial SSU rRNA". It matches the Rfam family "Bacterial small subunit ribosomal RNA", at positions 29 to 454 of the family's 1533-position model. The record is from RNAcentral.